This 1347-nucleotide long non-coding RNA is filed under the name Heterocephalus glaber (naked mole-rat). RNAcentral describes it as "lncRNA (ENSHGLG00100051876.1)". The record is from RNAcentral. Lineage: Eukaryota; Metazoa; Chordata; Mammalia; Rodentia; Bathyergidae.
UGGCGAAACCACUGAGCUAAAUCCCUGGCUCCCCAUAGUGCUUUUAAAUAAUGCAGUAGGCCCUCUAUAUCCUCACACAGAUUGAAAAUAUUAGAAAAAAUUUUUUACCUGUACUGAAUAUGUACAGACUUUUUGUCUCUUGUCAUUGUUCCCUAAACGAUACAAUAUACCUAUUUCCAGAAUGUUCGCUUCUUAUUAGAGAUUAUAAGUCUUGCAGCGAUGAUUUCAAGUCCAUGGAAGGAUAUGCCUAAGUACUAUGCCUAUGGUACUGGUACAUGUAAGGGACUUGAGCAGCCACAGAUUUUGGUACCUGCAGGGGGUCUGGAAGUCAACCCCCAGGAUUCCUGGAGGUGAGACCGUACUGCCUUGGCAUUGAGGAGUGAGUUCUCCUACUGGUGGUUCCUCUUACUGCCUAAAGACACAGGAGGAAAACAAUGCAAAGCAGCUCGUGAAAAGGGUUGAGCACGCCACCAGAAAAAGGCUGGUACCUGGGGCGCAGAGGGCCGUGCCUGUCCCUGAUUCCUCUUAACCCACUCUCCUCGGUCCCGUCAGCACUUUGCCUCAGUGUCUCUGAUUGUCCAGAAAAAGUCAUCGUGCUGCUGACUGUCUUGGAAUAAAGAAAAUCUCAGGACUCGGUCCUUCUUCCUCCUUGCUCUCCAUUGAUUGAGGCCUCAGGCCUGGCAGGAGGAUCUGCUGGCUGCUCCCAGGGGCACGAGGAGCCGAGACGGCCCGGCUCCCGUGGUGGCAGCGCUGGCACACUGCCCAGGCACCACCUCCAGCUGCAGCUGUCCUGCUAUUUGCAGCCCUCCACGUCCUGACAGCCAGCUCCAGGGAUGCUCCUUGGAGGGUGUGAUAGAGCCCCAUAGCCCAGGGGUGUGAGGGAAGCGCUGGGAACCAGGAGAAGGGCAGCAGCCUCUUCUGGGGCAAUGAGAGGCCCUGGGACAUCCAGACACACUGACUGCAGGGUCUUGAGGGCUGAGGGCUGGGCUGCCUGGAGAGUCAGGAACAAGAGCCAGCCACAUUCAUUGAAGCCAACUGAAACAAAGUGAGCAAGUGGAACUGCUAACAUUAAACAGCGGCCAGGCAUGGUGGCACACUCAAUAAUCCCAGCACCCAGGAGGCUGAGGCAGGAAGAUUGCCGCAGUUUGAGGACAGUUUGAACUACCUGUGGAGACCUUAUCUCAAAAAACCAGAAAAAAAAAAAAGUGAACAGACUUCCUCCUGGAGAAACUCAAAGGAUAAAUAAUUUAAAGAGCAAAAUAAAAGAGAUCUUUGCAAAGGGGAAGAGGAUCAAGAGAUGGAAGAGGGAGCAGGGAGGAGAGAGAAAGGGGUGAAGAAAGAACUGAG